CCUACGGGUGGCAGCAGUGAGGAAUAUUGGUCAAUGGACGAGAGUCUGAACCAGCCAAGUAGCGUGAAGGAUGACUGCCCUAUGGGUUGUAAACUUCUUUUAUAAAGGAAUAAAACGAGGCACGUGUGCCUUUUUGCAUGUACUUUAUGAAUAAGGAUCGGCUAACUCCGUGCCAGCAGCCGCGGUAAUACGGAGGAUCCGAGCGUUAUCCGGGUUUAUUGGGUUUAAAGGGAGCGUAGAUGGGUUGUUAAGUCAGUUGUGAAAGUUUGCGGCUCAACCGUAAAAUUGCAAUUGAUACUGGCAGUCGUGAGUACAGUUGAGGUAGGCGGAAUUCGUGGGGUAGCGGUGAAAUGCUUAGAUAUCACGAAGAACCCCGAUUGCGAAGGCAGCUUACUAAACUGUGACUGACAUUGAUGCUCGAAAGUGUGGGUAUCAAACAGGAUUAGAUACCCUUGUAGUC
This 460-nucleotide ribosomal RNA is filed under the name uncultured bacterium. RNAcentral describes it as "partial 16S ribosomal RNA". It matches the Rfam family "Bacterial small subunit ribosomal RNA", at positions 338 to 795 of the family's 1533-position model. The record is from RNAcentral.